This 403-nucleotide ribosomal RNA is filed under the name uncultured bacterium. Its description in RNAcentral is "partial 16S ribosomal RNA". It matches the Rfam family "Bacterial small subunit ribosomal RNA", at positions 28 to 526 of the family's 1533-position model. The record is from RNAcentral.
GACGAACGCUGGCGGCGUGCCUAAUACAUGCAAGUCGAACGCAGUGGGGACGGGUGAGUAACACGUGGGUAACCUCCCAUCAGAGGGGAUAACACUUGGAAACAGGUGCUAAACCGAUACUGUCGGAUGGACCCGCGGUGCAUUAGCUAGUUGGUGAGGUAAGGGCUAACCAAGCCCACGAUGCAUAGACGACCUGAGAGGGUGAUCGGCCACACUGGAACUGAGACACGGCACAGACUCCUACGGGAGGCAGCAGUAGGGAAUCUUCGGCAAUGGGCGAAAGUCUGACGGAGCAACGCCGCGUGAGUGGAGAAGGUUUUCGGAUCGUAAAACUCUGUUGUUAGAGAAGCGGUAUCUAACCAGAAAGCCACGGCUAACUACGUGCCAGCAGCCGCGGUAAUUC